GGGGACGGAGAAGGCUAUGCCAGCCGGCGAUUGGUAGUGCCGGUUCAAAGACGUAGGAAGAAUCGCCAGGCAAAUCCGGCGAUUCAAUUCCGAGAUCUGAUGACGAGGUCGUUUGACCGAAGUGACAAAUGCCCGGCUCCCAAGAAAAGCCUCUAAGCUUCAGGCCUGCGUUAACCGUACCCGAAACCGACACAGGUGGGCGAGGAGAGUAUCCUCAGGCGCUGGAGAGAACUCGGGUGAAGGAACUCGGCAAACUAGCACCGUAACUUCGGGAGAAGGUGCGCCCCUAGUAGGUAAAACCCCUCGCGGGUCGAGCUGAACCGGGCCGCAGUGACCAGGUGGCUGCGACUGUUUACUAAAAACACAGCACUCUGCCAACACGAAAGUGGACGUAUAGGGUGUGACGCCUGCCCGGUGCCGGAAGGUUAAGUGAUGGGGUUAGCGCAAGCAAAGCUCUGGAUCGAAGCCCCGGUAAACGGCGGCCGUAACGAUAACGGUCCUAAGGUAGCGAAAUUCCUUGUCGGGUAAGUUCCGACCUGCACGAAUGGCGUAACGAUAGCCACACUGUCUCCACCCGAGACUCCGUGAAAUUGAACUCGCUGUGAAGAUGCAGCGUACCCGCGGCAAGACGGAAAGACCCCGUGAACCUUCACUACAGCUUUGCACUGGAUUUUGCGUCUUCUUGUGUAGGAUAGGUGGGAGGCAAUGAACCCGGAACGCCAGUUCCGGCGGAGCCAACCUUGAAAUACCACCCUGGACGACGCGGGAUUCUAACCUCGCACCCGAAACCGGUGCAGGGACCGUGCAUGGUGGGUAGUUUGACUGGGGCGGUCUCCUCCCAAAGCGUAACGGAGGAGCGCGAAGGUACCCUCAGCGCGGUCGGAAAUCGCGCGAUGCGUGCAAAGGCCAAAGGGUGCUUGACUGCGAGACGGACAGGUCGAGCAGGGGCGAAAGCCGGUCUUAGUGAUCCGGUGGUUCCGAAUGGAAGGGCCAUCGCUCAACGGAUAAAAGGUACUCCGGGGAUAACAGGCUGAUACUGCCCAAGAGUCCCUAUCGACGGCAGUGUUUGGCACCUCGAUGUCGGCUCAUCACAUCCUGGGGCUGUAGUCGGUCCCAAGGGUAUGGCUGUUCGCCAUUUAAAGUGGUACGCGAGCUGGGUUUAGAACGUCGUGAGACAGUUCGGUCCCUAUCUGCCGUGGGCGUUGGAGAAUUGCGGGGCGCUGUUCCUAGCACGAGAGGACCGGAAUGGACGGACCGCUGGUGUGCCGGUUGUCAUGCCAAUGGCAGCGCCGGGUAGCUAUGUCCGGACGGGAUAACCGCUGAAAGCAUCUAAGCGGGAAGCCUUCCCCAAGAUCAAUUCUCCCGAGUCCUGGAGUCUCCCGAAGGUCCGUUGCAGACCACAACGUGGAUAGGCGUGGCGGUGGACGCGCAGUAAUGCGUGCAGCCGACCCGUACUAAUCGACCGUGCGGCUUGACCCG
RNAcentral lists this ribosomal RNA (1479 nucleotides) under metagenome. RNAcentral describes it as "bacterial LSU rRNA". It matches the Rfam family "Bacterial large subunit ribosomal RNA", at positions 1468 to 2925 of the family's 2925-position model. The record is from RNAcentral.